AGCCAGCAGCCGCGGUAAUACGUAGGCAGCGAGCGUUGUUCGGAGUUACUGGGCGUAAAGGGUGUGUAGGCGGUCGUUUAAGUUUGGUGUGAAAUCUCCCGGCUCAACUGGGAGGGUGCGCCGAAUACUGAGCGGCUAGAGUGCGGGAGAGGAGAGUGGAAUUCCUGGUGUAGCGGUGAAAUGCGUAGAUAUCAGGAGGAACACCGGCGGUGUAAACGGCUCUCUGGACCGCAACUGACGCUGAGACACGAAAGCGUGGGUAGCAAACAGGAUUAGAUACCCUGGUAGUCCACGCCCUAAACGAUGCAUAUUUGGUGUGGGCAGUUCAUUCUGUCCGUGCCGGAGCUAACGCGUUAAAUAUGCCGCCUGGGGAGUACAGUCGCAAGGCUGAAACUCAAAGGAAUUGACGGGGGCCCGCACAAGU
This 424-nucleotide ribosomal RNA is filed under the name uncultured bacterium. RNAcentral's name for it is "bacterial SSU rRNA". It matches the Rfam family "Bacterial small subunit ribosomal RNA", at positions 506 to 930 of the family's 1533-position model. The record is from RNAcentral.